CUCCCGCCAGCUCUCAUCCGCCCUUUCCUUCGCGGCCUCUGUCGAGGCUGCUGUGUCCUGCGGAGCUCCGAGCACAUGCUGGUAUUAAUAGCUGGCUGCCUCUAAUCUGGAAUGUUUGGAUUUCAUAG
Molecule: long non-coding RNA, 128 nt
Filed under: Meriones unguiculatus (Mongolian gerbil)
Lineage: Eukaryota; Metazoa; Chordata; Mammalia; Rodentia; Muridae
Description: lncRNA (ENSMUGG00000017345.1)
Source: RNAcentral